GCUAGGUCUGGAUGUCUGGUCUUAUAACUAUCUUUUAAAAAUUUUCUCUAAAUGAAGUUGACUUGGCAAAGACAGGGAGUCUAAAAGAUUUAGCUCAUCUGGAACCCAAUCCCAAUCUGACUUCAGCAGACAGCCACCUGCUGAUUGCUACUAGUUAAAUCGUCCCCUUUCAGCUGUUGGCUGUCAAGCAGCAACUAGCACCUGAAUGAAAGGAGAGAAGAGCGAUUGUACUUAAAAAAAAUCUUUGUCCCAUAAUCCACAGUGGCACCAGAUUAUUGGACCCAAAGUGAGUAGCAGACAGUUUCCCAAUCCCUAUGCCAACUGCCAGUUUCCUCAGCCAGGUUUUAAAUUUCAGCUAAUGGCAAGCAAUGGUCUUACCACCCCAGAGAUUCACUGGUGGGGUCAUUGGAGAACUCGAUAGUGUGAUUAGUUGUGGGAGAAAUGUGUUAACUGGACCCAAAUUGUCAUCUGAUACCUAAAAUAUAAAUCUUUUCUGCUGGUUGGGAAAAAAAAGAGCCCAAGGCUUUUUGGAUAGUUUACUUCUCAUUUUCUUGGGCCUCCCAAUUUCUUGGUUCCAGCUGGGUCUGGACAAAAAGCGGCCGAGAUUCCCUGGGAAAGAAUGGUGCUUCUCCUCAGUGUACUUUUCAUCCAGCUGGAGCCAGCAAAUGGUGGAGAGUUCAUGGAACAGCUUGUUAUUGCCAGGUUUCCAGCCCAGUGGAGCAGCUCACAGAAAGGCUAAGAGUUCACCAAAAGUUUGGAUAAACAUUUUAGCUUCUGGGUGUCUCACUGAUUGGGAAACUCAAGAGGGAAAUCUGGGGACUACAGACAAAAUCACUUUUUGGCAGCCAGAUUUUUAUUUACAGCGGGCAAUUCCCAAUGCACACUUUUUCUCAUAGUAACAAUAGAAACAACCAAAAGCAACUUGGGAAGAAAAAUUAUCCAACAAAUUGUGAAAAACUCCACACCCAUAGUCCUCCACCUUCGGACUGAGACAGAGUUUAUCCUAAAAGUUAAUUUUUAAAAGUAGAGAAGGUGAGAACAGGAUGAGGAGGAUGGACAUUUGAGGGGGCAUGAAGACAGAAAAGAAUGAAAAAAGAUAAGAGAGACAUGAGGCAGAAAAAAAAUCCUCUCCAUUCCACAAUUUUAUACAGGUACCAACCAUGUUAACCAAAUAUAUCCUUGAUUACAAAUGUAAUUUUUUUUUUAAAUCCAAGUUUAGAGACUGGACUCUCCUUUACUUUCCUCUCCUUGUAAUAGGUGAAAGGGGAAAAAGGAGUCUGGAUAUUUUGGGGGAAACACUUGAGUAAUUAAAGAAAAAAGAAUCCUUUUAUUCUGCUUCUAGAAGUUAUAAAGGAACAUCAAAACAGGACACUUCUGUUUUUGAGAGGACCGAUGUUGAAGUAGACCUGGAAUGCUCAUGCCAUUUCUUUACCAUCAUCAACCUUGAUUAGAAAUAAGAUACAUGUGAGUAUUUCACAUACAUUCAGCCUUUUAAAAUAUUUCUGAUUACUCCAGUGGGGUGGGAAGUGCCUAUUGUUUCAACUCUCAGAACAGCAUAAAAAAUAACAGAUUUCUAGAGGAGUAUUUUGGUAUUUUCUGAAAAAUUUGGGUCAGAAGAAGGUGGCACAGGAAUUUUUCAUGCAAAAAACUUAUGAAAUUUGUGUAAUUCAAAUGAAGAAAAGAUUGUCAAGGAUUUUCUUUUUCCUGUUAAUUCUGAUUUGCUGAUUGAAGAAAUAAGAAUUACCUUUCUAGCCUUGAAAAGAGUAACCAGACAUAUCAAGAGGGAUAAACUGACCCACUUGAACAAUUAGUUAGCCUUGAUAGCCAAAUAUUUUACAGCCCAACAAAAUUAAUUUCUCUACAAUUUCAGUUGCUCAAUACGACGAGGCUUUGAUGGCAGGGCAGAGAGAAGAAUUGAGAUCUGAUCCCUUCUCACUACAUCAACCACAAAUAGGAUUAAGUUUUCUAGGUGGUUUAAAAAAAAAUCCUUCCAAAAUGGGGAGGUGAAUCUAAGAAAUUAGAAAACUUCCCAUAGUUGGGUUUAGAAUAACUUUAAAAAUCUGAUUGAAAAGUUUGAAAAAUGUGAUGUUAAUGUUAAUCCUUCAAAUGUCAUCUUUUGAGAAUAAAAAAUAUUCAGCCAUUAGCUUGGGAAAGUCU
Molecule: long non-coding RNA, 2157 nt
Filed under: Monodelphis domestica (gray short-tailed opossum)
Lineage: Eukaryota; Metazoa; Chordata; Mammalia; Didelphimorphia; Didelphidae
Description: lncRNA (ENSMODG00000036696.1)
Source: RNAcentral